RNAcentral lists this ribosomal RNA (1234 nucleotides) under Bacillus safensis. RNAcentral describes it as "bacterial SSU rRNA". It matches the Rfam family "Bacterial small subunit ribosomal RNA", at positions 108 to 1329 of the family's 1533-position model. The record is from RNAcentral. Lineage: Bacteria; Bacillati; Bacillota; Bacilli; Caryophanales; Bacillaceae.
GAGUAACACGUGGGUAACCUGCCUGUAAGACUGGGAUAACUCCGGGAAACCGGAGCUAAUACCGGAUAGUUCCUUGAACCGCAUGGUUCAAGGAUGAAAGACGGUUUCGGCUGUCACUUACAGAUGGACCCGCGGCGCAUUAGCUAGUUGGUGGGGUAAUGGCUCACCAAGGCGACGAUGCGUAGCCGACCUGAGAGGGUGAUCGGCCACACUGGGACUGAGACACGGCCCAGACUCCUACGGGAGGCAGCAGUAGGGAAUCUUCCGCAAUGGACGAAAGUCUGACGGAGCAACGCCGCGUGAGUGAUGAAGGUUUUCGGAUCGUAAAGCUCUGUUGUUAGGGAAGAACAAGUGCGAGAGUAACUGCUCGCACCUUGACGGUACCUAACCAGAAAGCCACGGCUAACUACGUGCCAGCAGCCGCGGUAAUACGUAGGUGGCAAGCGUUGUCCGGAAUUAUUGGGCGUAAAGGGCUCGCAGGCGGUUUCUUAAGUCUGAUGUGAAAGCCCCCGGCUCAACCGGGGAGGGUCAUUGGAAACUGGGAAACUUGAGUGCAGAAGAGGAGAGUGGAAUUCCACGUGUAGCGGUGAAAUGCGUAGAGAUGUGGAGGAACACCAGUGGCGAAGGCGACUCUCUGGUCUGUAACUGACGCUGAGGAGCGAAAGCGUGGGGAGCGAACAGGAUUAGAUACCCUGGUAGUCCACGCCGUAAACGAUGAGUGCUAAGUGUUAGGGGGUUUCCGCCCCUUAGUGCUGCAGCUAACGCAUUAAGCACUCCGCCUGGGGAGUACGGUCGCAAGACUGAAACUCAAAGGAAUUGACGGGGGCCCGCACAAGCGGUGGAGCAUGUGGUUUAAUUCGAAGCAACGCGAAGAACCUUACCAGGUCUUGACAUCCUCUGACAACCCUAGAGAUAGGGCUUUCCCUUCGGGGACAGAGUGACAGGUGGUGCAUGGUUGUCGUCAGCUCGUGUCGUGAGAUGUUGGGUUAAGUCCCGCAACGAGCGCAACCCUUGAUCUUAGUUGCCAGCAUUCAGUUGGGCACUCUAAGGUGACUGCCGGUGACAAACCGGAGGAAGGUGGGGAUGACGUCAAAUCAUCAUGCCCCUUAUGACCUGGGCUACACACGUGCUACAAUGGACAGAACAAAGGGCUGCAAGACCGCAAGGUUUAGCCAAUCCCAUAAAUCUGUUCUCAGUUCGGAUCGCAGUCUGCAACUCGACUGCGUGAAGCUGG